RNAcentral lists this transfer RNA (76 nucleotides) under Thermoanaerobaculia bacterium. RNAcentral describes it as "tRNA-Phe". It matches the Rfam family "tRNA". From Rfam's summary of the family: Transfer RNA (tRNA) molecules are approximately 80 nucleotides in length. Their secondary structure includes four short double-helical elements and three loops (D, anti-codon, and T loops). Further hydrogen bonds mediate the characteristic L-shaped molecular structure. tRNAs have two regions of fundamental functional importance: the anti-codon, which is responsible for specific mRNA codon recognition, and the 3' end, to which the tRNAs corresponding amino acid is attached (by aminoacyl-tRNA synthetases). tRNAs cope with the degeneracy of the genetic code in two manners: having more than one tRNA (with a specific anti-codon) for a particular amino acid; and 'wobble' base-pairing, i.e. permitting non-standard base-pairing at the 3rd anti-codon position. Lineage: Bacteria; Pseudomonadati; Acidobacteriota; Thermoanaerobaculia. The record is from RNAcentral.
GGCCAGGUAGCUCAGGUGGUAGAGCACGCGACUGAAAAUCGCGGUGUCGCUGGUUCAACUCCAGCCCUGGCCACCA